AUAUAUAACUUGUUUUGUUUUCAAAUGUGAAUUUGGGGGAAGGGGUUGAAAAAAUCGGUUUGAUUUUCGUAUUGAAUUUAUGUGUGGUUAUGAAUUACCCAGUGAGGAUAGGAACUAGCUAUGCAGUGAAUCCUUGUUAUGUGUUUGUGACUGUUGAGAAGGGAUGAAAGUAUGUUGAAAUGUUUGCACUAGUAAACGUGUCUCGUUAAAAUGAACAAAAGGAUAAUGGUAAGUGUUAUCAGUUGGUGUUUGCCUAAUUGUCUAUGGUUGUAAUAGGGUGUAAAUAAAUAUGUAGCAGUGCUAGUUGCUACUUCUGUGCUACUUAUGUAGCAGGGUGUAAAUAAACACUACUAUAUAUAUAGUCAUUUCACGUUAUUAUAAGUACUAUACUAUGAUAUUAUUAUAUGAUAUGUUGCUAACUUUUCCCUGCAGGCAGAAAAACAAAAACUAAACUUUGGAACCCAAAUGAUGUCUUCAGAUUCUGUUCUUCCUCUCCCCGAAAAUCCCAUCAUUGUGGGGUUUGGUGGGGUUGGAGUGGAUUUUCUAGCAGUAGUGCCAACUUUUCCUAAACCUGAUUCCAAGAUCUGAACCAUUGAAUUCACGAUUUUUCCUUCUUUCAUUUCUUUCUUCUUCUUUAUUCUACUAUUAUUAUUGUUAUUACUAUUAUUGAUAUUAUUGUUACUUUUUUAGCACCUCAUGUCCUCGUGUAUUUGAUAUGUUUUUAGCAUAUUAGAAACACACAUGACACAUGAAUCAUCAUUAAUUAAAAUCUAUGACGUGGUUUUGGGUUUUGGGUCCAUGAACUUUUUGACGUCCACUUUAACCUUAAUUAACUAAACCAUAUAACCAACUCUAGCUACUCACUUUCGCUCCAGUGCCACCACUUUUUUUCUUUUAUCACUAAAAUAGAGUAAGUAAUUUGUCUUUGUUUAUUUAAAAUUAAAUAAUAUAAUCUUGUGUACAACUUUAAUCAUAGUGGGUCUAAUUUUAAUUUGAUCAUAGUGUUGCUGUUAACUUUAUAUUAUUAUAAUAUUAUGGAUAAGCAUUAUCAUUCUUACGUGAGUAACACUAUUUCUAUAUAAUUUUUUUCCUAAUUUUCUCUUCUAUCUCGGGCAAAUUCCUAGUGGACAAUUUUUCUUCUCAAAAAUUAAAAAAAAAAAUAUUUUUCUAGAAUAAUCAUUUCCUAACAACGGUGAAGUUAUGUGCUAAUUAGAGUGUUUAAUGUUUGUUUGUGAUUUUUGGUUUGACAGUUCCAAGGUGGUGGAAAUAAUGGAAAUACUAUGACAUGUGCUGCCCGGUUGGGCUUAAAGCCAAGAAUAAUUUCCAAUGUUUCUUGUUUGUUUGGCACAAGUUCUAUCAUAAUGUACAUAAGUACGUAACCUCAUGGUUGGGGCUAAUUUUCUUAUGACUAUGCAAUUUGAAAUCACUAGGUUUCAAAUGAUGGCCCGGGUAAGACUAUGCUGGAGGAACUAGAAGCUAAAGGGGUGGAUACCUCUUUUUUGGUGGUAUGUAUAUGUAUAUGUUUCAAUUUUUUUUAUUAAGCACGUGGAGAUUCUUCCUCAUGCAAAUGCAAAAAGGGAAGAAAAAAAGAAAAAAAAACAUUUUAGUAAGAGCAAAUGACAUUUGUCUUUUAAACCUUA
This is a long non-coding RNA of Glycine soja, 1640 nucleotides long. RefSeq lists it as uncharacterized. Lineage: Eukaryota; Viridiplantae; Streptophyta; Magnoliopsida; Fabales; Fabaceae. The record is from RefSeq and is a predicted model, not a curated record. The transcript has 2 exons.